CCUACGGGAGGCAGCAGUAGGGAAUCUUCCACAAUGGGCGCAAGCCUGAUGGAGCAACACCGCGUGAGUGAAGAAGGGUUUCGGCUCGUAAAGCUCUGUUGUUGGGGAAGAACGUGCGUGAGAGUAACUGUUCACGCAGUGACGGUAUCUAACCAGAAAGCCACGGCUAACUACGUGCCAGCAGCCGCGGUAAUACGUAGGUGGCAAGCGUUAUCCGGAUUUAUUGGGCGUAAAGCGAGCGCAGGCGGUUGCUUAGGUCUGGUGUGAAAUCCUUCGGCUUAACCGAAGGAGUGCAUCGGAGACCGGGCGACUAGAGUGCAGAAGAGGACAGUGGAACUCCAUGUGUAGCGGUGGAAUGCGUAGAUAUAUGGAAGAACACCAGUGGCGAAGGCAGCUGUCUGGGCUGCAACUGACGCUGAGGCUCGAAAGCAUGGGUAGCGAACAGGAUUAGAUACCCGGGUAGUC
RNAcentral lists this ribosomal RNA (465 nucleotides) under uncultured bacterium. RNAcentral describes it as "partial 16S ribosomal RNA". It matches the Rfam family "Bacterial small subunit ribosomal RNA", at positions 338 to 795 of the family's 1533-position model. The record is from RNAcentral.